RNAcentral lists this ribosomal RNA (596 nucleotides) under Wolbachia endosymbiont of Bemisia tabaci. RNAcentral describes it as "bacterial SSU rRNA". It matches the Rfam family "Bacterial small subunit ribosomal RNA", at positions 220 to 833 of the family's 1533-position model. Lineage: Bacteria; Pseudomonadati; Pseudomonadota; Alphaproteobacteria; Rickettsiales; Anaplasmataceae. The record is from RNAcentral.
AUUAGAUGAGCCUAUAUUAGAUUAGCUAGUUGGUGGAGUAAUAGCCUACCAAGGCAAUGAUCUAUAGCUGAUCUGAGAGGAUGAUCAGCCACACUGGAACUGAGAUACGGUCCAGACUCCUACGGGAGGCAGCAGUGGGGAAUAUUGGACAAUGGGCGAGAGCCUGAUCCAGCUAUGCCGCAUGAGUGAAGAAGGCCUUUGGGUUGUAAAGCUCUUUUAGUGAGGAAGAUAAUGACGGUACUCACAGAAGAAGUCCUGGCUAACUCCGUGCCAGCAGCCGCGGUAAUACGGAGAGGGCUAGCGUUAUUCGGAAUUAUUGGGCGUAAAGGGCGCGUAGGCUGAUUAAUAAGUUAAAAGUGAAAUCCCGAGGCUUAACCUUGGAAUUGCUUUUAAAACUAUUAAUCUAGAGAUUGAAAGAGGAUAGAGGAAUUCCUGAUGUAGAGGUAAAAUUCGUAAAUAUUAGGAGGAACACCAGUGGCGAAGGCGUCUAUCUGGUUCAAAUCUGACGCUGAAGCGCGAAGGCGUGGGGAGCAAACAGGAUUAGAUACCCUGGUAGUCCACGCUGUAAACGAUGAAUGUUAAAUAUGGGAAGUUGA